CGUAGACCUCAACUCAGACGUGAUUAC
RNAcentral lists this ribosomal RNA (27 nucleotides) under Gnathostoma spinigerum. RNAcentral describes it as "partial 28S ribosomal RNA". The record is from RNAcentral. Lineage: Eukaryota; Metazoa; Nematoda; Chromadorea; Rhabditida; Gnathostomatidae. RNAcentral also lists the same sequence under 1 other name.